Molecule: ribosomal RNA, 402 nt
Filed under: uncultured bacterium
Lineage: Bacteria
Description: bacterial SSU rRNA
Rfam family: Bacterial small subunit ribosomal RNA
Source: RNAcentral
UGGGGAAUAUUGGACAAUGGGCGAAAGCCUGAUCCAGCAAUGCCGCGUGAGUGAUGAAGGCCUUAGGGUUGUAAAGCUCUUUUACCAGGGAUGAUAAUGACAGUACCUGGAGAAUAAGCUCCGGCUAACUCCGUGCCAGCAGCCGCGGUAAUACGGAGGGAGCUAGCGUUGUUCGGAAUUACUGGGCGUAAAGCGCGCGUAGGCGGCUACUCAAGUCGGGGGUGAAAGCCCGGGGCUCAACCCCGGAACUGCCCUCGAAACUAGGUAGCUAGAAUCUUGGAGAGGCGAGUGGAAUUCCGAGUGUAGAGGUGAAAUUCGUAGAUAUUCGGAAGAACACCAGUGGCGAAGGCGACUCGCUGGACAAGUAUUGACGCUGAGGUGCGAAAGCGUGGGGAGCAAACA